Molecule: RNA transcript, 522 nt
Organism: Monomorium pharaonis (pharaoh ant)
Lineage: Eukaryota; Metazoa; Arthropoda; Insecta; Hymenoptera; Formicidae
Gene name: protein stunted
Exons: 4
Source: RefSeq, a predicted model, not a curated record
GAUACGCGCGUGUGCAAUUCAUCGGAGUUAUUUCUUCCGCCGCAAUUGGCGCUGCGGUCUAUGUCGUGUGCUGCUUGUCAAGAUUUCUUUUACUCUUUACCGAAAAUAAUUAACAGGAAAAAUGUCCGCGUGGAGGCAAGCAGGACUGAAUUACAUCAAUUACUCUCAGAUCGCAGCUAGGUUAGUCAGACAAGCUUUAAAGGCAGAUUUCAGGGCAGAGGCUGCUAAACGUGAUGAAGUCAAUGUGAAGUUUACUCAAUGGAAAGAUGGAAAACCCGUCAAAAAAGAUGCCUAAAUGACAAUAUCACAGAUGGAUGCAGGAGUCACCCAAUAUACAUUUAUAGUCAUAACAAAGGAUGGCAAACUACAACCUCGUCCAGUAAGGCAAGGUGUACAGGGCAAUGCUCUGUACACAAUUUGAAGUAUGACGGCUCAGUCACAGUACACUCUACCCAUCGUAUCACACCCACACUUACAACAGGAAAUCUGUAAUAAAUUUAUUAAUAAAAAAAAUCUUCCUUC